This 1569-nucleotide unclassified non-coding RNA is filed under the name Zea mays. RNAcentral's name for it is "misc RNA Zm00001eb019560". The record is from RNAcentral. Lineage: Eukaryota; Viridiplantae; Streptophyta; Magnoliopsida; Poales; Poaceae.
GACGAACACAAGAGUCCCAUCCCAUCCCAUCCCAUAGAAACUGUGAUGUGAUCCUGCUCUCCCCUUCGUUACACGCAACGCAUACGCAUGGCAUAUGCUCCCACAGAUUCGCUUCUCCCGGGCCUUCCCUCCUGUUCUGCUGCUGCUCGAAUGCUCCAACUAACACCCACCUCCCUCCCUAUAUUAAGCUGCCCGUCGCUAAUGAUUCAGCCUCCUCUUAUUCUCAUUCGAUUACACACACACACGGAGAGAUCAAAUUGAUACACUGCGAUCUCGAUCAAACAAAUCAAAAAAAAAAAAAAUCUUGCGAGACAUUACUGACCGAUGAAGUUCGGCAAGCGCCUCAAGAAGCAGAUCGAGGAGAGCCUGCCGGAGUGGCGGAGCCAGUUCCUCAACUACAAGGAGCUGAAGCGGCGCGUGAAUGCCGUGUCCUCCCGCGGGUCGGCGGCGGAUCCGUCGUCGUCCAGCGCCGCGGAGGCCGACUUCCUGACGCUCCUGGACGCCGAGAUCGACAAGUUCAACGCCUUCUUCCUGGAGCGGGAGGAGGAGUUCGUGAUCCGGCAGAGGGAGCUCCAGGAGCGCAUCGGGCGUGCGGGCGGGCCCGAGGCCACGCUGGCGCGCGUCCGGCGCGAGGUGGUGGACUUGCACGGCGAGAUGGUGCUGCUGCUCAACUACAGCAGCGUCAACUACACGGGCCUCGCCAAGAUCCUCAAGAAGUUCGACAAGCGCACCGGCGGCGUGCUCCGCCUCCCCGUCAUCGCGCGGGUGCUGCGGCAGCCCUUCUUCACCACCGACCUCAUCUCCGAGCUGGUCAGGGACUGCGAGGCCGCGAUGGAGGCCGUCUUCCCGCCCGCCGCCAGCAGGGACCUCCACGGGCGCCAGGCGCUGGCCGUCGCCGGGCAGGGCAUCUUCCGCAACACCGUCGCCGCGCUGCUCACCAUGCAGGAGGUGCGCAGCGGGAGCUCCACCGUCGGCCAUUUCUCGCUGCCGCCCAUGCAGCCGCUGCCGGAGUCGGACUGGCUCGUCCAGUCCGUUGACAGCACGCCGACGGCGUCGCCCCUCAUCCCCACGCAGUGACUGACGACACCAUGGUCCACUUCCAGUUCCAUGAUCCAUGGCACUACAGUGCUACAGCACAGCGGGGCGUAUUAUAUAGUAUGCAAUAUAUAUACGAGAAGGCACAAUAAUCUACAUACUGUAGUGGUGCUCUGUAUGCGGCUGAUGUGUACAGUAGUAGUAUUUUUUUUUCUCCUUUUGUUGAUGAGGUGUUCUUUUCUGCUCCCUUUCUUAUUUUACCAUCUUUUACCGAAGAAGAAGAAUAAUAAUAAUAAUAAUAAUAAUAAUAAUAAUAAUAAUAAUAAUAAUAAUAAUAAUAAUAAUAAUAAUAAUAAUAAUAAUAAUUAGUACUACUAGGACUAGUAGGAGUAAAGAAUGUUGUAACAAGGAAGAUCAAUAGGCUUUGUUCUUGCAGUGUAAUUUUAUUUACCGGCAAAUUGAGACGUACACUGCUUCGAAUUCUCUGUAUAUGAUCGUUUGCAUUUUUCUUCUUCAAUCAGCAGUCGGCUCCCU